UCUCCGUAGGUGAACCUGCGGAGGGAUCAUUACCGAGCUCAUGCCCUUACGGGUAGAUCUCCCACCCUGUGUUAUUAUUACCUUUGUUGCUUUGGCGGGCCGCCAGGCUCCGGUCAGGCUAUCGGCUUCGGCUGGUAAGCGCCCGCCAGAGGACCCUAUAUCCUGAUUAUUAGUGUCGUCUGAGAACUAUAUAAUAGUUAAAACUUUCAACAACGGAUCUCUUGGUUCUG
RNAcentral lists this unclassified non-coding RNA (230 nucleotides) under plant metagenome. RNAcentral's name for it is "partial contains small subunit ribosomal RNA, internal transcribed spacer 1, and 5.8S ribosomal RNA". The record is from RNAcentral.